RNAcentral lists this long non-coding RNA (1260 nucleotides) under Salmo trutta (river trout). RNAcentral describes it as "lncRNA (ENSSTUG00000040456.1)". The record is from RNAcentral. Lineage: Eukaryota; Metazoa; Chordata; Actinopteri; Salmoniformes; Salmonidae.
AUGUCUCAACUAAAAGAAGCCCUGUCUAGUUUCAGGUCCAUACCACAAAUACACAAGGUAGAAAGAGUCAACCAACAAGUGUUUCAACAAGACUUGAACACAAUGAUCAUAUUCAUCCUCAUCCUGUGUGCCUUGUCAAGAGAGGCCAUGGUCCAAACCACAGCCAAGAAGAUUUUUCCAGCAAAGAUCUAUUGGACUACUACAGGAACAAUAAUGGAAGGAAGUGACCUAAUGGUAAAAUGUAGUACACAUGGGCGCAAGGAAGACAAAGUGGCAUAUGUUUACUUGUGCAUUAACGGGGUUGCAGUGGAACAGAAGAAAUCUAUACAAGAAGACACCUUUUUCACCAUGAAAAGUGUUACUGGCCAACAGACUGGCAAUUACAGCUGUGUGUUCUCUAAAACCCCGUAUCCACUCUCUGAAGUGCGGGGAAAAGGAGAUAAUUCACUUUCCAUCCAGGUGAUGGACCGUAUACUCCCUGCAGACAUAUCACUUGCAGGCUCAAGAACUGUGAGAAAGGGAGAUGGUGUGGAGUUUAAGUGUACAAUUUCAGACCCAAGUUUUCAAACACAAAAUACCAGUGACUUAGUUCACGCUUACCUCUGCAAGUAUGGCUCUGUUGUUCAGAUGCAGGUGUUUGAUGUAAAGAGCACGGAGGCAACUUUUACGAUUAAAAGUUUUAAUGAGAAUGACGCAGGUAACUACAGUUGUGUGAUUGAUCUUCAAUCCAAAACCCUCAAAGAUAAAGACAGAACAUUAUAUGGAAAUAAUGCAGUAUUUCUACAGGUUAAUGUGUCCUGGAAUCACUUAAUCACACCGGCUGUGUUCUGCGUCUGUUUUCUUCUGAUCUUAUCACUGAUAGUGGGCAUAUGGUGGCUGUUCAUUAAACAAGGUCAGGCCAUUUAACAUGGACAUUAUCCUGGAUAUACAGGUCUACUUCAUAUAGAAUAAUGUUUAUCAAACUAAUACAUUCCGUAUCUGGAUUGAAUGAACUAUCUGGAGCAGUUCUAAUAUCAUUGUUAUGAUAGUUAGCUUGAGUUUAACCAAUAAUAUUACAUGUAUUUUUUGACAGGAGCUUUACAAUGUUAUUGUGGAAGGUAAGCUUAUAGUUUUGUUGACCAUGUUAUAGCUAGUUUGUUUAGCAUGAUAAUGUAUAAUGAUUGAACGUUUCACAUGUAUAUUUCCUCCAGAACACCACAACAGGAGGAGAACGAUGUGCCAAUGACAGGGGAGGGUGACGGUAUGUUUUUUAAGCUUUCC